UUACAUCUACAAACGUGGCGACAUCAGCUGAGAUAUACAGUGGAUUUAAAUGCAAUAACCGGGGAAUCUUUAUAGAAAAUAGGGAUGAGAUAAGAGGUAAGGCGUUGUUUAUCCCUAUUACGAAAAUAUAAAGACAUUAUUUCGGAAAAUAAUGGAAGAGUGAGACGAUCAGCAUCAGCUCCCUAGAUCCAUCACUGAAGUACAUUUAGCCCAGCUGUCAAGAGUUCCAGGCUUUGAGAAUGAAUAAAUACAAAAUGCAUCCAUUUCUCCACAUGCUUUUCCCAAAGAAUUGGGCCAAUGGAUUCAUUCAGGCAGCAAGUUAAUUCAUAAUUUAAGGAAAAUGAAUUGAUUUCAUCCACAAGAACAUAAAGUGAUGGAAAUAAUCUGCACCUGCUCAGUAUUUCUUUACAGACUGCCUAUGAAUUUGAAA
This is a long non-coding RNA of Saccostrea cuccullata (small rock oyster), 430 nucleotides long. RefSeq lists it as uncharacterized. The record is from RefSeq and is a predicted model, not a curated record. NCBI's taxonomy places the organism in Eukaryota, Metazoa, Mollusca, Bivalvia, Ostreida, Ostreidae. The transcript has 4 exons.